This 65-nucleotide transfer RNA is filed under the name Drosophila borealis. RNAcentral's name for it is "tRNA-Leu". Lineage: Eukaryota; Metazoa; Arthropoda; Insecta; Diptera; Drosophilidae. The record is from RNAcentral. RNAcentral also lists the same sequence under 1 other name.
ACUAUUUUGGCAGAUUAGUGCGAUAAAUUUAGAAUUUAUUUAUGUAAUAUUUAUUACAAAUAGUA